This 464-nucleotide ribosomal RNA is filed under the name uncultured bacterium. RNAcentral's name for it is "partial 16S ribosomal RNA". It matches the Rfam family "Bacterial small subunit ribosomal RNA", at positions 339 to 795 of the family's 1533-position model. The record is from RNAcentral.
CUACGGGAGGCUCCAGUGGGGAAUAUUGCACAAUGGGCGCAAGCCUGAUGCAGCCAUGCCGCGUGUAUGAAGAAGGCCUUCGGGUUGUAAAGUACUUUCAGCGGGGAGGAAGGGAGUAAAGUUAAUACCUUUGCUCAUUGACGUUACCCGCAGAAGAAGCACCGGCUAACUCCGUGCCAGCAGCCGCGGUAAUACGGAGGGUGCAAGCGUUAAUCGGAAUUACUGGGCGUAAAGCGCACGCAGGCGGUUUGUUAAGUCAGAUGUGAAAUCCCCGGGCUCAACCUGGGAACUGCAUCUGAUACUGGCAAGCUUGAGUCUCGUAGAGGGGGGUAGAAUUCCAGGUGUAGCGGUGAAAUGCGUAGAGAUCUGGAGGAAUACCAGUGGCGAAGGCGGCCCCCUGGACGAAGACUGACGCUCAGGUGCGAAAGCGUGGGGAGCAAACAGGAUUAGAUACCCUCGUAGUC